ACUCAAAUGAAUAGACGGGGGCCCGCACAAGCGGCGGAGCGUGUGGUUUAAUUCGAUGCAACGCGAAGAACCUUACCAGGGCUUGACAUGCUAGUGGUACGGAUCGGAAACGUGAAGGACCCUUCGGGGAGCUAGCACAGGUGCUGCAUGGCUGUCGUCAGCUCGUGCCGUGAGGUGUUGGGUUAAGUCCCGCAACGAGCGCAACCCUCGCCGUCAGUUAUAUUUCUCUGACGGGACCGCUGGGAUAAACCCAGAGGAAGGUGGGGACGAAGUCAAGUCAGCAUGGCCCUUACGUCCUGGGCUACACACACGCUACAAUGGCCGGUACAAUGGGCUGCCAAGGCGCGAGCCGGAGCUAAUCCCGCAAAGCCGGCCUCAGUUCAGAUUGCAGGCUGCAACUCGCCUGCAUGAAGGCGGAGUCGCUAGUAACCGUAGGUCAGCACACUACGGUGAAUACGUUCCCGGGCCUUGCACACACCGCCCGU
Molecule: ribosomal RNA, 485 nt
Filed under: uncultured bacterium
Lineage: Bacteria
Description: partial 16S ribosomal RNA
Rfam family: Bacterial small subunit ribosomal RNA
Source: RNAcentral